Molecule: ribosomal RNA, 496 nt
Filed under: uncultured bacterium
Lineage: Bacteria
Description: bacterial SSU rRNA
Rfam family: Bacterial small subunit ribosomal RNA
Source: RNAcentral
GACGAACGCUGGCGGCGUGCCUAACACAUGCAAGUCGAACGAAGCAUAGCAAUAUGCUUAGUGGCGGACGGGUGAGUAACGCGUGAACAAUCUGCCCUGUACAAAGGAAUAGCCUCGGGAAACCGGGAUUAAAACCGUAUGACACUUUAGUAUCGCAUGAUAAGAAAGUCAAAUCGAAUAGAGGUAUGGGAUGAGUUCGCGUCUGAUUAGCUGGUUGGCGGGGUAACGGCCCACCAAGGCGACGAUCAGUAGCCGGCCUGAGAGGGUGAACGGCCACACUGGAACUGAGACACGGUCCAGACUCCUACGGGAGGCAGCAGUGGGGAAUAUUGCACAAUGGAGGGAACUCUGAUGCAGCGACGCCGCGUGAAGGACGAAGGUUUUCGGAUCGUAAAGCUCUGUCGAGCGGGAAGAAAUGUAUCAUGGCUAAUAUCCAUGAUACUUGACGGUACCGCUAAAGGAAGCACCGGCUAACUCCGUGCCCAGCACGCCGUAC